CAGUCGCCGCGGUAAUACGGAGGGGGCUAGCGUUGUUCGGAAUUACUGGGCGUAAAGCGCACGUAGGCGGCUUGGUAAGUUAGAGGUGAAAGCCUGGAGCUCAACUCCAGAAUUGCCUUUAAGACUGCCGAGCUAGCAGGUGAGAGAGGUAAGUGGAAUUCCGAGUGUAGAGGUGAAAUUCGUAGAUAUUCGGAAGAACACCAGUGGCGAAGGCGACUACCUGGUCUGGCAUUGACGCUCAUGUGCGAAAGCGUGGGGAGCAAACAGGAUUAGAUACCCCAGUAGUCCCUGUCUCUUAUAC
Molecule: ribosomal RNA, 301 nt
Filed under: uncultured bacterium
Lineage: Bacteria
Description: partial 16S ribosomal RNA
Rfam family: Bacterial small subunit ribosomal RNA
Source: RNAcentral